UAUAUAGACACACAUUAACUGUUUGUUCACCCUCAUAUUCACCAUCGGGGCGUACAGCUGGUCAUAGAGAAACACACACCAACACAAAUGGAGGAUCAAUCAUUCAAUCAAGAUCUACUCUACGCACUUCUGAUAAUGACUAGGGAGAGACAGGGGAGAAAUUUAGCUUGUGAAGCAGAUAUUAGACACAUCCACUGAGAUAAAAAGCCAGCAUUACCGUGGUCAGAACAACAGGGGGUGCUGCUGCUCUUAUAUACUACAGAACACGGUAAAUCAGGGUUGCUGUGGAUCACAAUCACAAUCCAUUCACAUCAACUGUACAUUAAAUAUUAUGCUUUACACAGAACUUGUUUAACAUAAUUAGAUUGAAAGUCAAUGCUAUUUUGUCAGUAUAUAGACUAUAUUUAUAUUUAUACUGCUUAUACAUUGAAAAAGUUCAAAGGUUGGGUAUAGGUGUCGGGAUCUCAGUUUUUGUUGUUCAUGCGUUUCCUGUUUUAUUGUGAAAUUGUUCCCUCAUGUGUCGCGUCUUGCUUUUCUGUUCCUGCUCUCAGUGUUUUUCCGCUCACCUGUCCCUUUUCCCACCUCACUCCAGCUGUUCCUGAUCUCCUCAUUAGUGCGUGUGUGUGUUUGUGUGUGUCGUCUUUGUUCUCCCUCGUGCCUUUGUGAGUUCAUUCCGUCUUCCCCCUGUGAUGCCACGCUGCAUUUCCCACCCGUGAUCUCGCCGGCGUCUCCUCUUGGUUAAGCUGUCUUGUGGAAACAAAAGGCUGAUUUCUUGGGAUGACGAGACAGUUUAUCAAUAAAAUUUGACUUCAUGAGAGUGAGUCACGACGGACACAAACCGCUCCGUGGGAAAUAAUCAAACAGUAACUAAUUUAUGAACUUUUACCAUUUGUUGUCAGAACGUUUUCUCUUGUGAUUUUGAAACAUCAGCUUGCAACCUGAGAUGACGAGGCCUCCGUACAUAUCAUAGAGAUAACAAAGAGAACAUCUGCAAAAAACAACUUGUGAUUCAAUUAAAAGUUGUUUUCGACAUAAUUCAACCACCUGUCGCUCAACUCCUAGAAACCCUCCAGCCGACUCACAGGAGAACUGGCGAUGCAGUGGCCCUGUCCCCUGCACUCGCUCAUACAACACUACCUAACAAACCUCCCCAUUGAUUUCUGCUUCGCUUCCAAUACCAUCCAGCGGCAAUUUACGAGAUUAGGAGGCUCCUUAAAGCACUUUAAAGUUCACUUCUUCUUUAAAGUGGCGCGCCUCAGGCAGUAAAGGUUGAUAACAACACUGUCAACCAGCAAAAGCCACCGUCAUUACCCAGGACUGUGUGCUCAGCCCGUUUCUGUCCACUCUCUGUAAGAGGCUGUCACAACUCAUCACUCACACCUGACUCCCCCUUAAAACCUAUCAACAGUCAAUAUGUCUGGUCACAAUAGAUGUACCUUUCUUUUUUCUUCCCACCCUUCACAUUAGUGUUUCCAAAUCACCUCCUCCAUCUGCUCCACGCUCAAAGAUACAAAGCUCAGCAAAGUUUCGAUCGCAGGUGACUUUAUCGCUUCUUCUCCACUCAUCACACGAAGUAUAAAACUGUCGCUCCUCGCUCUCACCAUGAUGAGAACCACUCACUCAAAGCAUUCUUGACAUUGACUCAAUGAGAUGCAGCUUCCAGCUCCAGAUGCUUGAAUAAUUGUAAAUAUAUACCUCUUUUAUAUUGUUGUGAGUGCCAUUUAAUUUCAUUAAAUCUAAUUGAAUCAACA
Molecule: long non-coding RNA, 1751 nt
Organism: Acanthopagrus latus (yellowfin seabream)
Lineage: Eukaryota; Metazoa; Chordata; Actinopteri; Spariformes; Sparidae
Exons: 2
Source: RefSeq, a predicted model, not a curated record